AAUUGUUCUCAUAACACUUCUUGACUUUUUCGUUUUCCAAACAAUAAAUCUAUUUUAUAAACGUCUCAACCAAACAGACUUUUGUUUAGUGUCAUUGUAGUUAAGUUAACCAACUAUAAUAGAUGGAAUUAGUUGGAUUCAAUCAUUUACAUUUUUUUAAGAAAUACCUAAUAACAAUGCAGUGCUCAUCUCGAAUAUUCAACAAGUCAUAUUCGUCUUACUUGUUAUGCUAUAAAUUUAUUGACUAAUAGGUAUUAAGAUGUAACCAGCAAACCUUUAGGGCACGGGCUGUGAUGGAUGUACUUUACAGGACCAUUCUCCCAUCUUCUUAUCAGAGCAGAGUCCUCUCCACAAACCACUGUGUGAGACCUAACAGAAAAGGAAUGACUAUAUUUGAGGGAAAGAACAAUGAGACAUGAACAUGUCAUUGAACAAGAUUGAACAAGAGCGAUGAGGUAUUUAAGAUUUGGCCAGUAAACCUGUAGGGCACAAGCUGUGAUGGAUGUGCAGGAGGGAGGAUGCUCCCAUCUUCUCAACAGAGCAGAGUCCUCUCCAUAACCACCGUCCUCAACAGAGAAGGAAUAAAUAAAUUUGAGGGAAAGAACAAUGAGACAUGAACAUGUCAUUGAACACGACUUUUGAGGAUGAGACGAUUAGAUGUGAGAAACGCUUGGAGUGAUACAAAACAUAAUCCAGCUCUUUAAUGUACUGAUGAUUUUGUCUCCUCGGAAUCGCAAAUGACCUAUUGUACCCAGCUGAUUCACUACAGCCUCCGCUCUCGAAAUGAUUAUUUCAGGUAGAAAGAAUGGAAAGCUUUGAGGGAUGCAUACUUGGGAUCUUUGAGGACACAAACUGCGAAAAGCGGAAGUGGAGCAAGCAGAAAGUAACCCUAUCCCUUCCAACAACAGAUGGGGCUCCUACAACGAUGUUAUGACUGGAUAAUGUGAUGUGGAGGGGGAACUGCGCAUACAAUUUACACACAUGUCUCCACCCAUCUUUCAUAUUGCUGGACUUUCUUGAAGCGGUCAUUGCGAGGUCAGUUGAUGUUUGCAUGCCGUACUGUGAAGGUAUCACGCCAGCUGUAUCAUAUACUAGCACCACAUCUCUGCCACAAACUACAACUAAAGCUGUACAAUCUACAGCAGUUCUGACACCACUUAUUAGCAGUGGAGCUGCCAAAUAUGUGUGAGUGCGGAAGCUUGUAACCAGCACCCAAUAGGUAGUGCAACCUUUCCUACAAUUUGGCCACCAAUACCCACCUGAACCAUUUGGAUCUGCUCAGAACUUCUUGGAGAUGUGUUGAGUUGAAAAGUGUUUAGUUGUAACGAUCUCUGUGAAGGAGCAGUUAUCUUAACAUUUUCCUCCAAGCAAAGGCUUUUGUGAAAUAUCUAAUAGACUUGGAGUGUUAUAUUAUUGGCUGUUAUAAUUGAUAUAUUCGACUCAUUUGAUGUCUUGAUUCAAUUGAAAUUUAAGACUUGACUUGUGAGAAAUAACCUUUGUUGUUUUUUUUUUAUCUGUAUACGUGUAACAAUACCAUUGAAAUGACUUGUCUUUUAAUAUUGGCAUUGUUUUAUCUUGAUCUAUGUACUUGGUUCAAUACCUUUGAAAUGACUUGAACUAUUAUCAAUAUGAUUAUUGUCUUUCCAGAUAAAUAUGCUUGUAUGUAUUGCACUCUAUCUUGAUGAUUGUGAAAUAAUAAAUGUCAAGCAUUAUUGA
RNAcentral lists this long non-coding RNA (1716 nucleotides) under Nilaparvata lugens (brown planthopper). RNAcentral describes it as "uncharacterized LOC111051646". The record is from RNAcentral. Lineage: Eukaryota; Metazoa; Arthropoda; Insecta; Hemiptera; Delphacidae.